This 305-nucleotide ribosomal RNA is filed under the name uncultured bacterium. Its description in RNAcentral is "bacterial SSU rRNA". It matches the Rfam family "Bacterial small subunit ribosomal RNA", at positions 337 to 659 of the family's 1533-position model. The record is from RNAcentral.
GCCUACGGGGGGCAGCAGUAGGGAAUAUUGCUCAAUGGGGGAAACCCUGAAGCAGCAACGCCGCGUGGAGGAUGAAGGUUUUCGGAUUGUAAACUCCUUUUGUUAGAGAAGAUAGUGACGGUAUCUAACGAAUAAGCACCGGCUAACUCCGUGCCAGCAGCCGCGGUAAUACGGAGGGUGCAAGCGUUACUCGGAAUCACUGGGCGUAAAGAGCGCGUAGGCGGGAUAGCAAGUCAGAUGUGAAAUCCUAUGGCUUAACCAUAGAACUGCAUUUGAAACUGUUAUUCUAGAGUAUGGGAGAGGUG